AGAAACGCCUAUCAUAUCCAGUACCUGAGCCAUUUAUGAGCAUUAGUUUUAGCCAAAACUUGAGAAGCCCUAGCUUCAAGAGUGUUCAACCUGGCCAUGUAGGAAUGGGGCAACAGUCAUGUUAUACAGACAACAUUGGUGGAGAGAUUUCUCCAUCUUCGACCACUGAUCUGAGAAGGUGGCUUAGAUGAGUCAAACUGUAGAAAGUAAUCAUCAAGGAAUGAAGAUACUGACGAUGAAACUAAUAAACCUAGUUAUCAUCUUUCCAUACACUAGCGAAUAAAGCCUACGGGAACUUGAGAUGAUGUUGUGUGGGUGGGGUGGGGGAGAAUCGGUAUUCUGUAUCCUGGCAUAUUUUCCAUUCUUAUAAGCUAAGUCUAGUUAAAACCAUAUUCUCUUAACAUAAAUGUAUGAAGUUCUCCUUGUACUCAUUGUCAGUUUUAGAUCUCCUCAAUUCUGCUUUACUUUCCUGCACUCCCCUGACUACCAAAGUCAAAUUUAUUAUAAUUGCACCUUAUGGAGAUCAUCACUCUAAGCAUGAUUAGCCAAUAAAGGAUUUUGCACUCCUUUAUCCUCUAACUAGAGUCACAAAUAAAGAAUUUGGAUUACAGAGCUGUAGUAUAAAAAAAAAAUUACUAUUAUAAGCCAAGCACACUUUAGUCUUUAAGUAGAAAUCAAACUCUCUUGCAGAAAGGGUACAGUUUCAACAUAACGUUGCAAAGCACGAUAUGCACAAGACUGCUCCUAAGUAACCACAUCGAUCUUAUGAUCAAAGAAAUUUGUAAAAACAACUAAUCAAACAAUAAAGGUUCAACAUUUAGAAGCAAUAGUGCAAUACUAGCAAAUGACUAUGGAUGGGGAGCCUAAAGAUAAUAAAUGGUUCCUUCUCUAGGAAAAAAACAGGUCCAACAUCUACCAAACUAAUAUAAAACAGAAUCAUAUACUCCUUUCACAUCCUGCAAGUAAUUUGGUAAAUUGGUCUAUCUUCUUUCUUUUCUGCUCUUCUUGCAUUUCCCUAGCCCUUACACAAUGACUUUAAUUACAAGCUUUAGUGCAAGUACUAUUCUUUCUUUCUUCUUUGUUUUUUGUAAAAAAAAAAUUACUUUUGCGGCACCAUUAUGACUUGACAUAUCUUUUUCAUUAUUCUGUUUUUUGGGCUAAUUCAAUAAAUUCUAGUCCAAUCACUUGACAAUAUUCCUUAGUGAUUUGCAUCAAAAUUUUCAUUGGAAAUAUUCUUAAUCUACAAAAAAGUUGUCUAAUUUUUUUAUUUUUAAUAAAGAUAAGAAAGUAUAAUAAAAACUAAAUAUAGUAUGGGCUCUUAAGAAGAAGUAUAACCUUUCAAUGGUUAGGGUGAUACUUUUUAACUAUGUAUUUUCACUUUUAUAUUCUACACGGUUCUUUAAUUUAGUAGUCAUCUUACGCUUUUAUAUUUUAAUCUUUUACUUNNNNNNNNNNNNNNNNNNNNNNNNNNNNNNNNNNNNNNNNNNNNNNNNNNNNNNNNNNNNNNNNNNNNNNNNNNNNNNNNNNNNNNNNNNNNNNNNNNNNCUAGUUUGAGGUCGCAUUUCAAGCCGUCGACCUCUGGAUUGCCGAUUGCGACGUACUCCCUGUGGAGAAUUCCCUAGACGGCAGCAUUCACCGGAACUAUGACCUCCUCCGGCAUCGUCUCCACAUCGUCGGCGAAGUCCAACUCCCCCCCGUCCACCACUGCCUCCUAGCCCUCCCUGGUGUCCGUAAAGAAUUCCUCACUUGCGUAAUCAGCCAUCCUCAGGCUCUCGCGCAGUGCGAGCACACAUUAACGAAGCUUGAGGCUAUUUUGCAGAGUAGAAAGGAAGAUGCUUUCAUGCGUGAAACUUCUCUGGCUAAUUCCUUCUCCCAACAGGUUCAUGACACUCUCUAAGUCAAUCUUUCUGUAAAUUCACUCUUAAUUUCGAGUUCAAUCAACUCACAUGUUCAUUAUAUUUUACAACCGUACGAAGGUGUGGAUGUCUGGGAAGAACACGACUACUGGUGAUGAGAAAGAUAAUGGUGAAAAAAUAAACUGGCUUGAUCAAUGGAUGUCAACGAAGCAAUGGGAGAUUAACAGCAGAGCUUCCAUUGAUAUAAAAUAACCUGCAAGGACAGGUGAACUCCACGUAUCCAGGCCUUAUUUUUACUCAGCUUCAAGAGUCGUGAAAUCGCAAUAUAUAAAGCAACACCAAAGACAGCCAAACCCACAUCCUAUGGUUUCACCCCGCUACAUAGAGCCUUACAGUCCCUCUCUUCAAUCACCUGUAACUGCUUUGUAUAAAAUAAAAUCAUUGCAGGUGCGUUCAGCAAGCCCCCAUUGCCCAAAAGAAGACGAGCUACUCCACAAGAAAUACCCCAAAUCUACGUUCUACACCCCAGAUCAAUGGUGGUGCAUCUCGCUAUAGCAUUGGUGCAAAUGAUGGUACAGUUACUGCAGCAAUGCCCAAUUACAUGGCUGCCACCGAGUCGUCAAAAGCUCGUGUUCAGUCACAAAGUGCACCAAGGCAGAGCCGCCCGUUAACACCAAAAAAGGAGCAAAUUGUGGCAGCAAAGUAGCGCCUAUUGAAACAACUCGGGUCAAAUCCCGAGUCCAAAACAAAUCUCGGGUCAAAUCCCAAGUCCGAAUCGAAUCAAAUCCAUCAAAAUAAGGCCUCAAACUACUGGCCUAAUAAUAUCUUCUUGGGUCAUCAUAGCCCACCACAGGCUCCCAAAAGGUCAUGACUUGAAGGUACUAUUCGUAGUAACUUAUUUCCUUAUAUGCAGACAAAUUUUUCCCCUAUCUUUCGAUAUGGGACUGGAGUGUUACAAACUCCCCCACUUAAAUUUCUGACGUCCUCGUCAGAAUCCGAUCACAAUUUCUGACGUCCUCGUCAGAAUCCGAUCACACACACGGCCCAAAGAUCUUUGCCUCUCUAGUCAUUGUGGGAUAAUACCAGCUAGCUUCGUGUCCCCACCUCCGGACCUCCAUCUCUCCAUUGUGGGAUAAUACUAUCAACUUUUGUGUCCCCACCUCCGGCAACCCGAUCGGAUGACCCGACCCAAGCUUUCGAGAGUCGGCUCUGAUACCAUAUGAAACAACCCGGGUCAAAUCCCGAGUCCAGAAUAAAUCUCGAGUCAAAUCCCAAGUCCGAAUCGAAUCAAAUCCAUCAAAAUAAGGCCUUAAACUACUCGCCCAAUAAUAUCUUCUUGGGUCAUCUUAGCCCACCACAGGCUCCCAAAAGGUCAUGACUUGAAGGUACUAUUGGUAGUAACUCAUUUCCUUAUAUGCAGACAAAUGUUUUCCCUAUCUUUUGAUAUGGGACUGGGGUGUUACACCUAUCAUAUCCAGUACCUGAGCCAUUUAUGAGUAUUAGUUUUAGCCAAAACUUGAGAAGCCCUAGCUUCAAGAGUGUUCAACCUGGCCAUGUAGGAAUGGGGCAACAGUCAUGUUAUACAAACAACAUUGGUGGAGAGAUUUCUCCAUCUUCGACCACUGAUCUGAGAAGGUGGCUUAGAUGAGUCAAACUGCAGAAAGUAAUUAUCAAGGAAUGAAGAUACUGACGAUGAAACUAAUAAACCUAGUUAUCAUCUUUCCAUACACUAGCGAAUACAGCCUACAGGAACUUGAGAUGCUGUUGUGUGGAUGGGGUGGGGGAGAAUUGGUAUUCUGUAUCCUGGCAUAUUUUCCAUUCUUAUAAGCUAAGUCUAGUUAAAACCAUAUUCUCUUAACAUAACUUUAUGAAGUUCUCCUUGUACUCAUUGUCAGUUUUAGAUCUCCUCAAUUCUGCUUUACUUUCCUGCACUCCCCUGGCUACCAAAGUCAAAUUUAUUAUAAUUGCACCCUAUGGAGAUCAUCACUCUAAGCAUGAUUAGCCAAUAAAGGAUUUUGCACUCCUU
Molecule: long non-coding RNA, 3882 nt
Filed under: Panax ginseng (ginseng)
Lineage: Eukaryota; Viridiplantae; Streptophyta; Magnoliopsida; Apiales; Araliaceae
Description: long non-coding RNA (PGIN_LNC012353)
Source: RNAcentral